This 464-nucleotide ribosomal RNA is filed under the name uncultured bacterium. Its description in RNAcentral is "partial 16S ribosomal RNA". It matches the Rfam family "Bacterial small subunit ribosomal RNA", at positions 338 to 795 of the family's 1533-position model. The record is from RNAcentral.
CCUACGGGAGGCAGCAGUGGGGAAUCUUCCGCAAUGGGCGAAAGCCUGACGGAGCAACGCCGCGUGAUCGAAUGAAGGCCUUCGGGUUGUAAAGAUCUGUUGACAGGGACGAAUAAGCAAUGCGAAUAGUUUUGUGUAUGACGGUACCUGUUUAGAAAGCUCCGGCUAACUACGUGCCAGCAGCCGCGGUAAUACGUAGGGAGCAAGCGUUGUCCGGAAUUACUGGGCGUAAAGGGCGCGUAGGUGGGCGCUUAAGUCAGGUGUGAAAACUCCGGGCUCAACCUGGAGACUGCACUUGAAACUGGGUGGCUUGAGGGCAGGAGAGGAAAGUGGAAUUCCUAGUGUAGCGGUGAAAUGCGUAGAUAUUAGGAGGAACACCAGUGGCGAAGGCGACUUUCUGGACUGUACCUGACGCUGAGGCGCGAAAGCAUGGGUAGCGAACAGGAUUAGAUACCCGUGUAGUC